AGUGAACGCUGGCGGUAGGCCUAACACAUGCAAGUCGAACGGCAGCACAGUAAGAGCUUGCUCUUACGGGUGGCGAGUGGCGGACGGGUGAGGAAUACAUCGGAAUCUACUUUUUCGUGGGGGAUAACGUAGGGAAACUUACGCUAAUACCGCAUACGACCUACGGGUGAAAGCAGGGGAUCUUCGGACCUUGCGCGAUUGAAUGAGCCGAUGUCGGAUUAGCUAGUUGGCGGGGUAAAGGCCCACCAAGGCGACGAUCCGUAGCUGGUCUGAGAGGAUGGUCAGCCACACUGGAACUGAGACACGGUCCAGACUCCUACGGGAGGGAGCAGUGGGGAAUAUUGGACAAUGGGCGCAAGCCUGAUCCAGCCAUACCGCGUGGGUGAAGAAGGCCUUCGGGUGGUAAAGCCCUUUUGUUGGGAAAGAAAAGCAGCAGGUUAAUACCCCGCUGUUCUGACGGUACCCAAAGAAUAAGCACCGGCUAACUUCGUG
RNAcentral lists this ribosomal RNA (492 nucleotides) under uncultured bacterium. RNAcentral describes it as "partial 16S ribosomal RNA". It matches the Rfam family "Bacterial small subunit ribosomal RNA", at positions 29 to 507 of the family's 1533-position model. The record is from RNAcentral.